Mandrillus leucophaeus (drill) is the source of this 2251-nucleotide long non-coding RNA. RefSeq lists it as uncharacterized. The transcript has 5 exons. NCBI's taxonomy places the organism in Eukaryota, Metazoa, Chordata, Mammalia, Primates, Cercopithecidae. The record is from RefSeq and is a predicted model, not a curated record.
UGUUCUACUGCCGCUGGUAAGUGAUUUCGUGAGCUUUGUAGCUGUCAGUGUUUUGUGCUUUGUCCGUUUCUUUUAUUUUGAACGAUUGUGCGAACAUCGCAUAGCACGCGCUAUGUCUUCUGUGUUGUAGCUGUCUGGCCAGGGUGACUGGCGGGUGAGGUCUUGUGGGUGGCCUCGAGACUUAAAUUAAGUAGCAGCGGGGCUUUGUGAAGGACAAGAUGGCGAUGGCGGGCCGUGCGGGUCCCCUCCCUAUGAUGAGGACCUUUUCACAGACCUGUACUGAGCUCCGUGAGGAUAAGUGACUCUGAGGAGAUGGGCCCUGCAAGCCUCCUACUUAGCCGUCGGCUCAGAAGAUAGCGUUUUCGAAAUGCCCUGUGUUGACCUAAUGUCUUCUUGGACUCUUGCCUGCAGGGUUUACGCGCACGUUGGAAUCGAAGACAGCUCUAUGUUACAGUAAGUUCUUAUGGCCAUUUCUUAACCUCUGCGCUUUCGUUGAGUGUGUGGAAGUUGCUACGGGGAUGAUUUUACAAACUGAACUCUCUCUUUCUGAUGGAUUAGUGGAGAAAACACAAAAAUUCUGAGUAGCACUGUACGCAAUAAAUGUCAGGGACUUAUCGAUUUGUCUGAGGUGUUAGUGAAGGCUGUUAUUUUUUCAGAUGUUUAGCCCACAAGAGCUCACUGAUGAAGGAAUGGGACAAGACCCAUCUUUCUGCAAAGCCAGCGUUACAGUAAUGUUCCAGGUAGGUGUACAUGCUUUUAUAAUCUUACAGAGGAGACCUUGCUAGAUAACCACUCCGUGAUGAACACAAAAUGACAAGCAUAUGGCUGAACUUAUAAGUGAUGUCAUCUUACUACUGAGAAGUGACAGCGAGGUCUUCAGGGGUCUUUGAAUGACUAUUUUUAGGUACAUAAAAUGCCUUCCUCUGUUGUCUACAGCAUCUCAUAAUCUAUCCUGAGGAAUUCAGCUGCCUCCCAGGGUGAAUACAGGUAAUUAUUCAAAUUGGUGUAUGUCAUCUCUGUAAAUGUUCACAAGAGAACAAGUGGCCGGCGGAAGCAAUUUUGUUUUUUGGCGCCUUCCAUCUUGUUCCUCUUGAGAUAAUUUUCUGGGAAGCGAGAUCGCAACCCGGUACUACAGUUCUUGUAAGGGCGCGCUGUUAUCCUCAUCCAUAUAUGGAUCACUUUACUGUCAGAUGAUUUGAAUUGAUAAGCUGAUGUUCUGUGAGGUACAAAAAUUAAUAGCAUGUUAGAGUUCUGAUGGCAGUUGUUGAUUUUGAAUAAGUUUCAUUCCAUCCUAAUACCUUAAAAUAACUAAUUUGCUUUGCUUUCCAGGUAUUCCUCAUGACAAUCUGCCUCUAUCUUACAGUACGUUGCUUUUUUAAUUCUAUGGGCCUAUUAUCUAAUUGAUAACUUAGCCAUCUUGAUGUUUGUUACCAAAGCCUGCUUAAACCAUAAAGUUUUCUGGUUCCUCUUGUUCUCUGUAGUGAUGUUUCCAGACCUCCCCUUUUUUCUCUCAGAUAGAUGCCCACUGAUCUGCCCAGGGUCAGACGAAUGCUUGUCAGUUGUAGGUUUCCACCGUUUAGCUCCAAUGAGGAGGAAACAUCCUGCCUCAGCCCUGUUCUAGCCUGGGAACCAGUAAUUGUGAACCCACCAGGAUUAACUGAAAAGGGGCAUGAGAGCUUAUUCCAUAAGCUGUCUGAGGCAUUUGGUUACCUUUUCUUAGCUUGUCCACUAGCAACCGUAACUAAAAUAGUUUUGGCUGUUUGGGAUAAUUAGCUAAUUGAUUGAUUUUUUUGAUUCAGGAGCAGCUUGUUGCCAUAUAACAUUGAAAAACCUUCAGAGCUGAGAGGUUAGUUGAUUUUUUUUUUUUUUUUUUUUGCUCCUUACCGCUUAUGCCACCAAGUAGACAGUUUCUAUGAUGAAUCAAACUAGCUCACUAUGACUGACAGUGAAAAUACAUGAACACCUGAGAAAUUGGAGAAUGCAGGGAGUGGGGGGUAACCAUGUCUGAGAAAUCUUUCACCCACAGUUUUGUUUUUCUCUAGGUGUUAGUGACCAAUAACCUCUUUGGCUCUAAGGGCCAGCACCUUCUCUCUAGCACUCAAGAGGAGUUUGAGGAAAACUAGGUGUUACUGUUCACUCCAGACUGCAGUUACAGGUCUGAGUAAAGAACAAGGUGCAUAAGAAAUGGAAUCUGUCUUGGAGGACAUCAGAAGGUGAAUUUUCCAAGUCCUUGGAUAACCUAGCUGUUGAA